This 204-nucleotide long non-coding RNA is filed under the name Elaeis guineensis (African oil palm). RNAcentral's name for it is "long non-coding RNA (EGUI_LNC043376)". The record is from RNAcentral. Lineage: Eukaryota; Viridiplantae; Streptophyta; Magnoliopsida; Arecales; Arecaceae.
UCCCUUAAAAAAUAGUUGGUCAAGGGCUGUAUUAUGGCAUAAGUAAUUGGAUCACAUUUUUUAAGAGAUGAUUCAAAGGUGGAUAGAUAAUACAAUUUUAUCUUCACUUGGCUUUAGUGUAUGCACCUUGUGUUGACUAUCUUAGGGGCAAAUUAAAAGAAAAUCCAAAGUACUUGAGUAUUGAGAUUAAGAGAUGACAUGGAA